CGGGGUGAGUAAUGUCUGGGAAACUGCCUGAUGGAGGGGAUAACUGCUGGAAACGGUAGCUAAUACCGCAUAACGUCGCAAGACCAAAGAGGGGGACCUUCGGGCCUCUUGCCAUCGGAUGUGCCCAGAUGGGAUUAGCUAGUAGGUGGGGUAACGGCUCACCUAGGCGACGAUCCCUAGCUGGUCUGAGAGGAUGACCAGCCACACUGGAACUGAGACACGGUCCAG
This 228-nucleotide ribosomal RNA is filed under the name uncultured bacterium. RNAcentral describes it as "partial 16S ribosomal RNA". It matches the Rfam family "Bacterial small subunit ribosomal RNA", at positions 104 to 334 of the family's 1533-position model. The record is from RNAcentral.